RNAcentral lists this long non-coding RNA (3576 nucleotides) under Xyrichtys novacula (pearly razorfish). The record is from RNAcentral. Lineage: Eukaryota; Metazoa; Chordata; Actinopteri; Labriformes; Labridae.
CAGCCAUCAACACAUUUGUGAAGGAAUUUUUACUCCCUAAAAGAGCGCCCCCCCAUGGCAGGAGAAAAAAGUCCAUUUUUUCUUGUCCCCUAAGGUGAAAAUACACAUUGUUGACUGUCACGCCUGUACGCUUUGGCAAAAUGACACAAAAAUUGACACACACAUGUAUCUCAAUAAGAUCUACAAAAAAGUCAGUGCUGGCGUAUCUGUCAAAUGUACGGUUAAAGGGUUAUUGCGCAUUUUUUGCCGAUCCGCACACAUUGGAAUUUCGCUAACUCCUCCGAAGGCUUUCGUUCCACUGGCACCACAUUUGCUCAGGCCAAUCUACACCCCAUGGCCAUUAAAAGUUAUUCAAAUCAUGACGCUGCACCCCACGGUUUAGGUUCUAGGGGGCGCCAAAAAUAACCCUAAAAUCCACAUAUUUAAAAGUCUUAUAACUUUUUAUUUUUGUCCUCUCUGGCCUCCAAGUUUUCUAGGAUGAUGCAAUGUCCAGCCAUCAACACAUUUGUGAAGGAAUUUUUACUCCCCAAAAGAGCGCCCCCCCAUGGCAGGAGAAAAAAGUCCAUUUUUUCUUGUCCCAUAAGGUGAAAAUUCACACUAUUGACUGUCACGCCUGUACGCUUUGUCAAAAUUACACAAAAAUUGACACACACAUGUAUCUCAAUAAGAUCUACAAAAAAGUCAGUGCUGGCGUAUCUGUCAAAUGUACGGUUAAAGGGUUAUUGCGCAUUUUUUGCCAAUCCGCACACAUUGGAAUUUCGCUAACUCCUCCGAAGGCUUUCGUUCCACUGGCACCACAUUUGCUCAGGCCAAUCUACACCCCAUGGCCAUUAAAAGUUAUUCAAAUCAUGACGCUGCACCCCACGGUUUAGGUUCUAGGGGGCGCCAAAGAUAACCCUAAAAUCCACAUAUUUAAAAGUCUUAUAACUUUUUAUUUUUGUCCUCUCUGGCCUCCAAGUUUUCUAGGAUGAUGCAAUGUCCAGCCAUCAACACAUUUGUGAAGGAAUUUUUACUCCCCAAAAGAGCGCCCCCCCAUGGCAGGAGAAAAAAGUCCAUUUUUUCUUGUCCCAUUAGGUGAAAAUACACAUUGUUGACUGUCAUACCUGUAUGCUUUGUCAUAUUGACACAAAAUUUGACACACACAUGUAUCCCAAUAAGAUCUACGAAAAAGUCAAUGCGCGCGUAUCUGUAAAAUGUACGGUUAAAGGGCUAUUUUGCAUUUUUUGCCGAUUAGCACACAUUGGAAUGUGGCUAACUCCUCCUAAGGCUUUCGUCCCACUGACAUCAAAUUUGCUCAGGCCAAUCUACACCCCAUGGCCAUUCAAAGUUUUAAAAAUCAUGACGCUGCACCCCACGGUUUACGUUCUAGGGGGCGCCAAAGAUGACCCAAAUAUCCACAUUCUUAAAAGAAUCCACAUCCCCCCCCCCCCCCCCCCCCAAUCCCCCAUCCCCCAUCCCCCAUCCCCCAUGGCAGGAGAAACAGUCAAGUUUUUCCUGCCCAUCACUCAAUGGCUCAAUCGCAUCGCUCUCCCGGCAACACCGUAACGAGGAGCAACUUGCCGUUUGGAUAUAUCCUAGCUGUGUUUGUGCCCUCACUCAUGGUCCAGACUUUUUUCAAAUAGGACAUGUAGUUUGUCUGCAGCGAGUGUUUUGGUAGAAACUGCGCCUCCCAUUCAUUAUAAUGGGAAAUGACCACAGACAAGUGCGCACACCAUCUUUGGACCUUGAGUGUGACGCGAUCGGGAGGGGGAGGCGGUCGCACUGGGGGCGGCGCAACGCGGCUCGGGCCCGCCAGUGCCCCAACGGGGCCCUAGUUUCUUCUUUUUCCUCCCCUUUGAACUGGAAAAUGGCCCACUUCCCACUGGCGAAAACUCAUGAAAUUUGGCAGGAUGACCGGGCCUGGUGAAAAAUUUGAUAUUCCGAAGUCGCCCAAACAAGAAAAUGCAAAAUGGCUCCAUAGCGCCCCCUAAGGUGAAAAUUCACACUAUUGACUGUCACGCCUUUACGCUUUGUCAAAAUGACACAAAAAUUGACAAACAUAUGUAUCUCAAUAAGAUCUACAAAAAAGUCAGUGCGGGCGUAUCUGUCAAAUGUACGGUUAAAGGGUUAUUCCGCAUUUUUUGCUGAUCCGCACACAUUGGAAUUUCGCUAACUCCUCCGAAGGCUUUCUUUCCACCGGCACCACAUUUGCUCAGGCCAAUCUACACCCCAUGGCCAUUAAAAGUUAUUCAAAUCAUGACGCUGCACCCCACGGUUUAGGUUCUAGGGGGCGCCAAAGAUAACCCUAAAAUCCACAUAUUUAAAAGUCUUAUAACUUUUUAUUUUUGCCCUCACUGGCCUCCAAGUUUUCUAGGAUGAUGCAAUGUCCAGCCAUCAACACAUUUGUGAAGGAAUUUUUACUCCCCAAAAGAGCGCCCCCCCAUGGCCGGAGAAAAAAGUCCAUUUUUUCUUGUCCCCUAAGGUGAAAAUACACAUUGUUGAGUGUCACGCCUGUACGCUUUGUCAUAUUGACACAAAAUUUGACACACACAUGUAUCUCAAUAAGAUCUACGAAAAAGUCAAUGCGCGCGUAUCUGUCAAAUGUACGGUUAAAGGGUUAUUCCGCAUUUUUUGCUGAUCCACACACAUUGGAAUUUCGCUAACUCCUCCUAAGGCUGGCGUUCCACUGGCACCACAUUUGCUCAGGCCAAUCUACACCCCAUGGCCAUUAAAAGUUAUUCAAAUCAUGACGCUGCACCCCACGGUUUAGGUUCUAGGGGGCGCCAAAGAUAACCCUAAAAUCCACAUAUUUCAAAGUCUUAUAACUUUUUAUUUUUGUCCUCACUGGCCUCCAAGUUUUCUAGGAUGAUGCAAUGUCCAGCCAUCAACACAUUUGUGAAGGAAUUUUUACUCCCCAAAAGAGCGCCCCCCCAUGGCAGGAGAAAAAAGUCAAUUUUUUCUUGUCCCGUAAGGUGAAAAUUCACAUUGUUGAGUGUGACACCUGUACGCUUUGUCAUAUUAACACAAAAUUUGACAAUCACGUGUAUCUCAAUAAGAUCUACGAAAAAGUCAAUGGGUGCGUAUCUGUCAAAUGUAUGGUUAGAGGGCUAUUUUGCAUUUUUUGCCGAUUCGCACACAUUGGAAUUUCGCUAACUCCUCCGAAGGCUUUCGUUCCACCGGCACCACAUUUGCUCAGGCCAAUCUACACCCCAUGGCCAUUAAAAGUUAUUCAAAUCAUGACGCUGCACCCCACGGUUUAGGUUCUAGGGGGCGCCAAAGAUAACCCUAAAAUCCAUAUAUUUAAAAGUCUUAUAACUUUUUAUUUUUGUCCUCUCUGGCCUCCAAGUUUUCUAGGAUGAUGCGAAUCCAGCCAUCAACACAUUUGUGAAGGAAUUUUUACUCCCCAAAAGAGCGCCCCCCCAUGGCAGGAGAAAAAAGUCAAUUUUUUCUUGUCCCAUAAGGUGAAAAUACACAUUGUUGACUGUCAUACCUGUAUGCUUUGUCAUAUUGACACAAAAUUUGACACACACAUGUAUCUCAAUAAGAUCUACGAAAAAGUCAAUGCGCGCGUAUCUGUAAAAUGUACGGUUAAAGGGC